RNAcentral lists this ribosomal RNA (202 nucleotides) under uncultured bacterium. Its description in RNAcentral is "partial 16S ribosomal RNA". It matches the Rfam family "Bacterial small subunit ribosomal RNA", at positions 326 to 525 of the family's 1533-position model. The record is from RNAcentral.
GAAUUCGCCCUUCCUACGGGGGGCAGCAGUAAGGAAUAUUGGGCAAUGGCCGCGAGGCUGACCCAGCCAUGCCGCGUGCAGGAAGACGGCCUUAUGGGUUGUAAACUGCUUUUAUACGGGAAUAAUAGAGUGUACGCGUACAUUUAUGCAAGUAUCGUAUGAAUAAGCAUCGGCUGACUCCGUGCCAGCAGCCGCGGUAAUA